This 433-nucleotide ribosomal RNA is filed under the name uncultured bacterium. RNAcentral's name for it is "partial 16S ribosomal RNA". It matches the Rfam family "Bacterial small subunit ribosomal RNA", at positions 29 to 507 of the family's 1533-position model. The record is from RNAcentral.
AACGAACGCUGGCGGCAUGCCUAACACAUGCAAGUCGAACGAGACCUUCGGGUCUUGUGGCGCACGGGUGCGUCACGCGUGGGAAGCUGCCCUUAGGUUCGGCAUAACUCUCCGACAGGGGUGCUAUUACCGGAUAAUGUCUUCGGACCAAAGAUUUUUCGCCCUUGGAUGGGCCCGCGUUGGAUUAGCUAGUUGUUAGGGUAAUAGCCUACCAAGGCGUGGAUCAAUAGCUGGUCUGAGAGGAUGAUCAGCAACUCUGGGAGUAAGACACGGCCGAGACUCCUACGCAAGGGGGCAGUGGGGGAUAGUGCAACAUGGGCGAAGGCCUGAACCAGCAAGGCCGGGUGAGUGAUGAAGGCCUUAGGGAUGAAAAGCUCUUUUAACCGGGAUGAUAAUGACGGUACCGGGAGAAUAAGCUCCGGCUAACUCCGUG